Molecule: ribosomal RNA, 468 nt
Filed under: uncultured bacterium
Lineage: Bacteria
Description: partial 16S ribosomal RNA
Rfam family: Bacterial small subunit ribosomal RNA
Source: RNAcentral
GACGAACGCUGGCGGCGUGCUUAACACAUGCAAGUCGAACGGAAAGGCCCUGCUUUUGUGGGGCGCUCGAGUGGCGAACGGGUGAGUAACACGUGAGUAACCUGCCCUUGACUUUGGGAUAACUUCAGGAAACUGGGGCUAAUACCGGAUAGGAGCUCCUGCUGCAUGGUGGGGGUUGGAAAGUUUCGGCGGUUGGGGAUGGACUCGCGGCUUAUCAGCUUGUUGGUGGGGUAGUGGCUUACCAAGGCUUUGACGGAUAGCCGGCCUGAGAGGGUGACCGGCCUCAUUGGGACUGAGAGACGGCGCAGACGCCUACGGGAGGCAGCAGUGGGGAAUAUUGCACAAUGGGCGGAAGCCUGAUGCAGCAACGCCGCGUGCGGGAUGACGGCCUUCGGGUUGUAAACCGCUUUCGCCUGUGACGAAGAGUGAGUGACGGUAAUGGGUAAAGAAGCACCGGCUAACUACGUG